GGGCUGCUUCCACAUUUAAUAAGAAGAAUUUUAGGAAAAGAAGAACAUUUUUUAUUGGAGAAAAACAAAAGCUUUUAAAUUUGCCACAACAUUAAAAUAGAGAGAAGAGAAGGGGCUUUCCCAUGGUGCAAGUUGUGGGUUUUUGCAUGCACUUGUUGACCCACACAUAACACUUGCACAUCACAUUCAGUACACCCAC
This 199-nucleotide long non-coding RNA is filed under the name Hordeum vulgare. RNAcentral describes it as "long non-coding RNA (HVUL_LNC010197)". The record is from RNAcentral. Lineage: Eukaryota; Viridiplantae; Streptophyta; Magnoliopsida; Poales; Poaceae.